Molecule: ribosomal RNA, 274 nt
Filed under: uncultured bacterium
Lineage: Bacteria
Description: partial 16S ribosomal RNA
Rfam family: Bacterial small subunit ribosomal RNA
Source: RNAcentral
AUACGGGGGGUGCAAGCGUUAAUCGGAAUUACUGGGCGUAAAGCGCGCGUAGGCGGUUUGCUCAGUCGGAUGUGAAAGCCCAGGGCUCAACCUUGGAACUGCAUACGAUACUGGCAAACUAGAGUGUGGGAGAGGAUAGUGGAAUUUCCGGUGUAGCGGUGAAAUGCGUAGAUAUCGGAAGGAACAUCAGUGGCGAAGGCGACUGUCUGGCUCAACACUGACGCUGAGGUGCGAAAGCGUGGGGAGCAAACAGGAUUAGAAACCCUAGUAGUCC